AUGGGGAACUGCCAGGCGGCGGACGCGGCGGCCGUGGUGAUCCAGCACCCGGGCGACGGCAAGGUGGAGCGCCUCCACUGGCCGACCACCGCGGCGGACGUCAUGCGCAGGAACCCCGGCCACUACGUCGCGCUCGUCGUCCUGCAUCACGUCGACGCCGAGCCCGACCCGGCCGUCGCCGGAGAAAGAGGAGGUGCCAGGGUAACCAAGAUCAAGCUCCUCAAGCCAAAAGACACGCUCCUCCUCGGCCAGGUCUACCGCCUCAUCACCUCCCAAGAGGUGACCAAGGCCGUUCAGACGAGGAAGCAGGAGAGGAUGCGCGGUUGCGACGAGGCGAUCGAGCAGGAGUGGCCGCGGCUGCACUGGCGGCGGCAACCGCCGAGGCCGAGGGGCGACAACGCAGCCACAGCAGCAGCCAACGGAGAACAGAGGCAGCCCGCCGAGCACCAGGAACGGAAGCGGCUGGAGAAGGACCGGCACCACCGGAGCAUGGCCGCCGCCCGCGGCAGAGGCCGGCACUGGCGACCGGCGUUGCAGAGCAUUACAGAGUCGUCGUCCAGCGGACACGCCGACUGCGAGGAUAUACUACUAUCCAAAUGA
This 600-nucleotide ribosomal RNA is filed under the name Triticum aestivum (bread wheat). RNAcentral describes it as "partial small subunit ribosomal RNA". Lineage: Eukaryota; Viridiplantae; Streptophyta; Magnoliopsida; Poales; Poaceae. The record is from RNAcentral.